This is a long non-coding RNA of Aedes albopictus (Asian tiger mosquito), 7570 nucleotides long. RefSeq lists it as uncharacterized. The transcript is spliced from 2 exons. The record is from RefSeq and is a predicted model, not a curated record. NCBI's taxonomy places the organism in Eukaryota, Metazoa, Arthropoda, Insecta, Diptera, Culicidae.
UCCGAUGUUUGCACUGAUUGAUAGAUGUCAAAAUAGCAAACACGUUUGAUUGAUUUGUUCAUAGUUUCGGAAUUUGAUGAACUGCCAUUGUUGUGCCAUUAAUUUGUAGGUAGCUAUUCACCAAUCUGAUCAAAUUUAGAAAUCAAGUUGAGUAGCAUUGAUCACCCAGGUGGCCAAUGAUUUGGUCCGAAUGUAUUUUUCUAAUAUAGGGGAACUUACGUAUUCUCGGCAGUUUUGUUCUCUUCGUCAUGGGGGGUUUUUUGAAACCUGUAGGUCAUAGAGUUGGCCUCAAAUCCUUCCCAACCAAGCUGAGUUAUAUCACCAAAUUUCAUGCAAUUCGGCCCACAAAAACCCCCCAUGACGAAGAGACAAACCUGCCGAUAAUAUCCAUCGUCACCCUAGCAUUAUUUCAAAAUUUUUACUCAAGAGCUUCCAUUAAUCUCUUCAACCUAUAUUGCAUAAUCUGCAAUCUCCAAUAUCCAUCGUAUCGUAAACCAUCGUCUUUAUCAUAUAGACAGGUCUUACUAAAUUUUUUGGUCAUCAUUUUUAGCCUCUGAACAACUUCUCAUAAAAUCAUAUUAAGGGGUUCCAAGGGGUUUUAUCAGGACUUCAUCUUGUGCCUCAAGUUUCGUUCGUAAAUAAUGUUAUUUCGUACAGAGUUGAUGCUAUUGAGCUCCUAUCGAAACUAAACUUUUACUUGCCCUCACGAUAUUUGCGUCAUCGAGAGCUAUUUUCUAUUAAUUUUCAUCGUACUGUCUAGAGUAAAAUGUUGCAAAAGUUCGAGUGGGGCAAAAGUUUCUUCUGAAGCUUUCGAGCUCAAUUCAAAAUAUUACUUUUGGGUGUCAAGGUUGUUCGAACGAAGCCUUUUUGAAAAAGAGUCUUUCACUUCAAAAAUUAUGAAAAUUAAUCAAUAUUUCGAAAAGUUAUGACAAAAAGUUGGUUUUUGAUCAAAAAAUUGUAAUAUGCGAUGAUCCUUCCAACGCAUGGAAUGGAAUUGUAAUGAAAUCGAAUUCAAUAUUUUAUUUUGGGGCGUAACUAGGUAUAUUUUGAAGAAGCUUUAGCAUGUAUAACUUUUUGCAAAAAAGAUUUGGAAGUCAUAUUUUACACAUAGUGGGGCAAAAGUUCGAGUCAUGUGGCAACUUUAGGUAAAAACCUAAAAUUGCGCAAAAUGUACAUAUGAUCUCUAAAAACGAUGGAAUUAGUGAGAAAAUUCGAUCAAAGUUGAAAACAAAUGUUGUUUUAUCUGAAUUUGGCGGAAAACUUCUAAUUUUUGGUGUAGUAAAUUUAACCCUGAUUUGGGUAAAAUCCAAAUCGAACUUUAAAGUGUAUUCCAGUUCCAACAUCAAAUAUUAAUUGGUUUUAGGUAUUCCUAUUACCAAAGUAUCAAAAAAGUGUGCUACGGUUAGCGAAAUUCCACAAACACAAGAUUCGAACUUUUGCCCCAAUGGUGGGGCAAGAGUUCGACUAAGACGCACACAUACAAAAAGUGUUGUAACUCAAAAUUAAGAAGACAUUUGGCGUAACUUUGUCCAGCAAAAUUUUAGCUGAUGGAUGGUAGAAUCACCACACGGUAUUCAUUUAUUUUUAUCUGCUUCGAUUUUUUGAGAAAAAUUGAAUUUUCAACUAGGGUCGAACUUUUGCCCCACCUUACUCUAUAACAAAUUUAAGCCCUCAAAUCAAAUGAUGCUUGUUUAUAAUAAACACAGUGAACAAAUUGAUUUCACAUUUUCCCAGACAAGACUUAAGGAAUACUUCAGAUCAUUACGUUAACGAGAUGUAAAUCUGCAAAUCAUCUGCGUACAGAUGAUAAUUGCACUUCAGAACAGCUGGAAGACUAUUGAUGUAGAGCAUAAAGAGAAGGGCGCUUAAGCAGGAGCCUUGUGGUGUUCCAUCCUUAACAUCGCGUAUAUUGGACUGGCUGUUACCGACACGAACAGUCUGGCGUCGAUUUGCAAGGAAAGAUGAUACUAGAUCGCAUGCGGUUCGUGAGAAACGAAAUUCCUCGUUGAGUUUGUUCCUUAGUAUACGAUGGUCGACGCAAUUGAAUGCCAAUGAAAAAUUGACCAAAACCAUCACGGUGCACCUAUUCUCAUCGAAGUUUUCGUAGACGUCGUGGAUAACCUUCGCCAAGGCAGUGGUUGUACUGAAACCCUUACGAUACCCAGAUUGGUUAUGCGCUAGUAGCUGAUGAUCAGAAUCAUUUAGGUACCCGGGUAGAGCUUAAUGGCAAAAGAAUGGCAAAUUUUACCAUUAAAACAGAAUGUUUGAAUGGCAAAAUGUGUUAUUUGUUUGUUUGAAAUAAGAGUUAAAAUAACAAAAAUAAUAACAAAAUUUUGGUAGCAGAAAAACAUAAAAAUAACUUAUUUUGCCAUUGUAAUAACAAAGUAAUGGUAAAGCAUGCGGAUUAAAUUGAAGAACAAAAUAAGUUAUUAUUGAGAUAUUGAUAACAAAAUAAGAUCCAAAUUAACUGUUAUCGGUGAAUAACAAAAUAUGACAUUCUUGAGUUAUUGAUAACAGAAGAAGAACAAAUUUAGCUGUUUAUGUAGCGAUCAAAAUAAUGGUAGGUUUAGUUAUUCAAAUUCAAUUUUAAAAUAAUGGUAGAUUCAGUUAUUAUUUCAAAGUAGCAGAAGAAAGGUAAAAUGAGCUAUUUCUUUUUUUUUUUCUUCGAUAAAAUUUAAGUUCAUCCAUCAAUGUAAAAACAGUUUUAUUUUGUGGAAAUUAAAAACUCAAAACGAAACGAACUUAAAAAUCAAAUUCACUUUGAUGAACGUAGCCACCGUUAUGCUUGAAAUAUACAAUAUAAUAGUUAAUGGUAUACAUAUUAAGAGUAAAAUAUGUUAUGGUGCCUAAUGUUUAUAAAUAAUUUCUCACAAUAUCAAAAUAAUGGCAAAUUUAGCCAGGAAUGUAAAUUAUGUUAUUGUUUUGAUAUUUUAUACAAUUCAUUAUAAAAGGUGCUAAAUUGCAAGUUUUACCAUGAUAGUAAUUUUUGUAAUUGAUGUGUUAUUUAACAUUAAUCAUGAAUAACAUAUCAAUGACAAGAUUUGCUAUGAUUGUAUAUUUUGCUAUUGAUUAGCCAUUUUAAGUUUUUCAUAAUAACAGAAGAAUGGCAAAACGAGAUAUGAUGGCAAAACCAGUUAUUAUUUUGUCCUUUGUUUGCCAUUAGCCUCUACCCGGGUAAUCGCAGAUUUGGCUCAGUAGAAUCUUCUCAAACACCUUGGAAAUAACUGGCAGCACGCUGAUAGGGCGACAAUCCUUCGGCUGAGUCGGGUUAGAUGUUUUUGGUAUUGGCGUAACGAUGGCGGUUUUCCAGAGUGCAGGGAAACUUUGUGUACGUAUAAUCUCAUUGAAAGGGUGGCAAAGUACUGGGAGUAUGAAGGGACACAGUGCCUUGACGAAAGAAAUUGGAAUGCUGUCGUUUCCUGCUGCGUUUGUUUGUAUUUCAAAAACUUUCCGGCUAACUUCGGUGACAUUUGUAUUACGGAAACUGAACCCGACUGCUCCUUAGCCAAUCGCAGUCUUAUGGGAGGGUUCACCUAAAUGCAUUUCGAUUUCUAUCUUGGAGCUGAUAGUGUCCUUCUGAAAAGAACUCCACGUCAGCAUCAGCAGAAGGCGAGCAUUGUUUUGUGUUGUUGUGGAUUCCCUCUCUUCUCAGGUUGCACCACAACUUUUUAGUUGGUUCGAAAUGAAGUUCAGCGUAACGUUUUUUGGCGGCAGAGAUCAGUGAGCUUGCUCUGUCAUGUUUUCUGGUGAAGUCUUGCCAUUGGGGGACUCCUUUUCAUCGGUUUGGGUUGCGCGAGUAUAGUUUGAAAGCCGACUCCUUCAGUUCAACAGCACGUUUUAUUCCCGGGGUGAUCCAUGGGGUGCGCUUAUCGUGUACGACGAUAGUUUUUUUCCGGUGCAUGCACUUGCAGCAGUCUCUCUAGUUUGGUGGAUAUAAUCGUGAUUUUCGUGUUCACGUCGGUGGACUCGUAGUACUCUUGCCAAUCGUUUUCCUGAAAAUCACCUUGUAAUCUCAACGUGUCGAUGUUUCGGAAGUUCCUUACACGUAGGGUAAUUCAUGUAUUUUGGACAGGCUGAGGACAACGUUGAAAAAAUCGUCCCCUAGCUUUCUUAGAAAGCAAUUGAUUAUUUUGCAAAGUUACCAAUACGCUUAUAAUAUGAUUGUGCUUUGCGUUCCUGGUGACAAAAACCUUAACGAAAGCAUUUUAAGCUGAUAAAAUCGCAAUUUCCGAUCGCCUGUAAGAAUUGCAUUUUGGACACCGAAUAUAUGUUUUGGACACCCUGAGGUAUAUAUAAUUUGGACAGGGCAAUUAUCUCAACGUUUAGCCAUGAAUACUGCUGAAUCAUGGAAGUAGCAUAAAUCAACAAAUAUUUUCUUACAAAUAAUCAAAUUUCUCCGCUUAACAGGCAUCUAUUUUGAUAACUAUUACAGUUUUUGUUAAAAUCGAGGAAAUAUCGCCAGACCCACAGAAUACGCCUCCAAGUAUGCAAUCGCAGUGCAUCCCCAUGUAGUUCGUCAGAUGACCAAAAUAUAUUUACAGUAGAAAACGUGUAAUGUAUUUUGGACACCACCUAUUUUAAGCGUUCUAGAUGAAUGUUAAGAGAUUGGCUGCCUAAUGCUUCUUUAUUGGACAUGUUUCAAUGCAAUAAGUCUUUUAAAUUUCUUACAAUUAUUAUUUCAACGAUUUUCAGGUGAAUAUUGUGUGUGACUGUGAAGUGUACGUCGUCUUGCAUACCUGUGCAUUUGAGGGGUUUUAGUGAAAUAAUUUACAUUUUCGAUAAUUUUGAAGUAAAUUCUUAAUUGUUAAGCGUAUUUUCAACGUAAGACAUCAGAAUAGGAUCUAUUUGAUCCAAUAAUCGAUAUUGAAAAGUAUCUACUUUUAUUAGCUCUCCGGAACAAGGCAUACAUCGCCGUGCAUGUCCAAAUUAUAUACAUGUCCAAAUUAUAUUUUUUACCCUAUCACUUGUGGAGGUGUUUUCUGAAAUCUGAUGUCGGUUAGCAGGAAGACUAUUUCGUGAUCUGAGUUAUUCGCGGUGACGGCUGUAGAUUUUCUUAUGAACUGAGGGCAGUCGGUAAUUAAGAGAUCUAUGGUUGAUGUGCUUGAAUCCGUGAUUCUUAUAGGGCCGGUGGGAAGGACGGUUAAGUUGAAGGUAUCGGUGAUCCGAUUUAGUGCUAGUAGAUAGAUUAGUGGUGGUUAACGCUGCAGAUACAUUGAUCCUGUCAAAACCGAAAUCUAGCAUCUCGAUCAGCAGCUUUUCGUAGCAUUGGCUAAAGUAUUGAUUCGAGCCAGAUGGAUUGUAGACGACACAAACCCCGAUAUUUAACUCGUUUAUUGCAACUUUCACUACUAAAUAGUCGACUCUAGGAGCGAUAGGCAAGGCAGGAUCAAGAUAUGACUUGAUGACUAGGGUAGCUUUGAGUCCUUUGCUUACAUAGAAACCUACACCUCCGCAAGAUUUGUGUCCGCGCCCGCGGUCGGUAGGCAGGGAGUGUUUGACAAAAUUGAAGGCAGGCACUCGAAUGGGACCCAUCGGAGCUGACGAUUUGAGUUUGGUCUCAGUGACAGCGAAAAUAUGACACUUAUUGUUAUCUAGAAGGAGCUUCACGCCGUCAAUAUGGUGCUCCAGGCCUCUGACGUUCAGAUGGCCAAUACAGAGGUUUGAGAAAACGGGUCUGGUCAUUAGGUAGGUUGUUGUGGAGCGUCUGCGUGGAGUUGUUAGUUGGAAGAGGAAACAGAUGCAUUCAUAGAUACAACGUCGAAGAAUACGGAGGAGUUAUCCGAACUUGAUCCAAUGUUGGCGAUCGAAGUAUACUUUGUUCCUUCCGAAAGUAGUAUAAAAACAGCAUCAUUACGGACAAAGACCGACUUCACGAUGCUUUGCUGUUCCAGACGGAUGGCCAGAUUUCGUAUUCGAAAGGUGUUUAACGAGAGGACUUCGUUAAUCGUGAACCGAUAUUUGAGUGGUGGCACAUUUCGAAGCUUCGAUAGAUUUGCAGUAUUGUAUUGUUCGAAAUAAUUUCGCAGGACAACAUCUCUGGAAACCCUUGUGUCGAAAAUAACCGCAAUCGUGGAACUGAUGUUCCGAAGGCUUGACCUUCAAUCGGAAACAGCUGGAUACAUUGGCAAUCAAGUGAUCUACACCGAGGAAAAGUAGAACACUGUUGACAAUGGCACGGGUAUUUUCACCUUCAGAAAAUGGUAUUUUGUUGAUUGCCAGUCUGCACGCGUUAACUGUGUUUAAACAGGUACUUGCUAGCUUGGCUCCUGAUUCAAUCAUUUCGAUGUUUUCUUCGAGUCGAUUCAUCAGUUGAUUUCGGGUCGUAUUUUGACUGUCCAACCGGUCCAUAUUGUUUAUUUUGCUUCGCAGGUGAUCAAUUUGUUUCCGACUGGAUAGUGUAACCGUUCGUAAACUGUUCACGAGGAAUUUUAAAAGCGCGGUGGCUUAAGCGCCACUCUCAAAGAGAGACCACCGGUCGUGUUCAAUUUUGCCCGACUUUGCUAGAGACUUUCUUACUCAGGGACGGUUUUGAACGGUUCAUGGAAAUAACGGCAGAAUUUCUUCGAAAACGCAAACUAAACUCCAACUCUUUCACAGGCUAGAAGAACUUAUGGAAAACCGGAAGGGAUGCUUACUCAUACGAGCGAAAACGGAAUCAAAACGUAACGGACUGUACAACUUCAUUCGUAUUGGACGGGAAAUUCGUAACGGAAUGGAAAAAGAGCAAACAUGGCCAUGUAACUAAAAGCUCUUCACAUACCUGCGCAGGUUUUGGUGUUGCGAUGCUCGAUGACGGGGUGGCGUAGCUCGACGACUCAACGAUGGCGACUACCUCGAUGAUCAACAGCGGCGACAGCAGAAUGGCGGCUGCCGACGAGUCCGUGCUGCGAUUUGGCGCGCAGCGUCGACAAAGGGACCCGUGUGCGGUAUGGCCGAACUACCGGUGCGGAGGGAGUGGCGGCUGGACGGAAGCUUCCGAUUGUUGGACGAACGAGAGAGCUUCGGCGGAUGCCGAGCGAUUCCCGGGAUGGUCUUUCUCCGGUCAAUAAAGGAGCAAACAGAGCCCAGCGACCCGGCUUCGCGUACUAUGCUUCCAGCUAUGACCGAGCGGGGAAUGCCGCUACCUCUAUCUUCCUGGAUACGGACCAGGUUCGAGACGUGCAAUUGGCGACACGCUGCUACGAACCGGCUCUCGUUGAUUCCGGCCCACGGGGUAUGACGUAAGAGGGCCUUACCGUCGGUGAUUGGCGGCCGACGGGAAUACUUCGCUACGGAGAUGAUUGAGCGACUUCACUCGCGCCUCCGUUUGACUGCCUUCUGAAAGGCGGGCCUUUGCUGGGCACACGGGUCGGAAACGAUGACUCACGGACGAAACUGGCGGUUCAAUCCGCCUACGAAACCCCGAUUCGGCGAAGGAUACCGCCGAACGACGACGAAAAAACCAGCCGUACGAAAAAAGCGCUAGGCGCUACACGUCCAACAGGAAUUCAUGUUAAUCUUAAGCACUUUUAAUUUAAUUAUCAAUAAAUUACCUUUUUUCGUAGUUCAAUUCCUUCGAGAAAUAAAUCAA